AGAGUUUGAUCCUGGCUCAGGAUGAACGCUAGCGGCAGGCCUAACACAUGCAAGUCGAGGGGUAGCGGGGUGCUUGCACCGCCGACGACCGGCGCACGGGUGAGCAACGCGUUAUAGAACCUACCCGUUACAGGGGGAUAGCCCAGAGAAAUUUGGAUCAAUACCCCGUGGCGCCCCGGACCGGCAUCGGUCCGGGGCUAAAGAACUUCGGUAACGGAUGGCUAUGCGUCCCAUUAGUUAGUUGGCAGGGUAACGGCCUACCAAGACGGCGAUGGGUAGGGGCCCUGAGAGGGGGAUCCCCCACACUGGUACUGAGACACGGACCAGACUCCUACGGGAGGCAGCAGUGAGGAAUAUUGGACAAUGGGCGGUAGCCUGAUCCAGCCAUGCCGCGUGCAGGAAGAAUGUCCUAUGGACUGUAAACUGCUUUUGUACGGGAAGAACCGGGGGCACGUGUGCCCCCUGACGGUACCGUAAGAAUAAGGAUCGGCUAACUCCGUGCCAGCAGCCGCGGUAAUACGGAGGAUCCGAGCGUUAUCCGGAAUCAUUGGGUUUAAAGGGUCCGUAGGCGGGCCGUUAAGUCAGGGGUGAAAGUCUGCGGCUCAACCGUAGAAUUGCCCUUGAUACUGAUGGCCUUGAGUUAUGGUGAAGCAGCCAGAAUAUGUGGUGUAGCGGUGAAAUGCAUAGAUAUCACAUGGAAUACCGAUUGCGAAGGCAGGCUGCUAACCAUAUACUGACGCUGAUGGACGAAAGCGUGGGUAGCGAACAGGAUUAGAUACCCUGGUAGUCCACGCCGUAAACGAUGGAUACUAGCUGUCCGGCGGCAACGCUGGGCGGCCCAGCGAAAGUGAUAAGUAUCCCACCUGGGGAGUACGUCCGCAAGGAUGAAACUCAAAGGAAUUGACGGGGGCCCGCACAAGCGGUGGAGCAUGUGGUUUAAUUCGAUGAUACGCGAGGAACCUUACCAGGGCUUAAAUGUAGUCUGACAGCCUUAGAGAUAGGGCCUUCCUCGGACAGAUUACAAGGUGCUGCAUGGUUGUCGUCAGCUCGUGCCGUGAGGUGUCAGGUUAAGUCCUAUAACGAGCGCAACCCCUGCCGUUAGUUGCCAGCAUGUCAUGAUGGGGACUCUAACGGGACUGCCGGUGCAAACCGCGAGGAAGGUGGGGACGACGUCAAAUCAUCACGGCCCUUACGUCCUGGGCCACACACGUGCUACAAUGGCCGGUACAGAGGGCUGCCACCCCGCGAGGGGGAGCGAAUCUCCAAAACCGGUCACAGUUCGGAUCGGGGCCUGCAACUCGGCCCCGUGAAGCUGGAAUCGCUAGUAAUCGGAUAUCAGCCAUGAUCCGGUGAAUACGUUCCCGGGCCUUGUACACACCGCCCGUCAAGCCAUGGAAGCCGGGAGUGCCUGAAGUCCGUCACCGCGAGGAGCGGCCUAGGGCAAGAUCGGUAACUAGGGCUAAGUCGUAACAAGGUA
RNAcentral lists this ribosomal RNA (1477 nucleotides) under uncultured Bacteroidota bacterium. Its description in RNAcentral is "bacterial SSU rRNA". It matches the Rfam family "Bacterial small subunit ribosomal RNA". Lineage: Bacteria; Pseudomonadati; Bacteroidota. The record is from RNAcentral.